GACAGAGGUGCCAAGCGUUAGGCGGAAUCACUGGGCUUAAAGCGUGUGUAGGCGGAUGGGUAAGUACCUUGUGAAAUCCCACGGCUCAACCGUGGAACUGCUCGGUAUACUGCUCGUCUUGAGCCAACUAGGGGCGACCGGAACAAACGGUGGAGCGGUGAAAUGCGUAGAUAUCGUUUGGAACGCCGAUGGUGAAAACAGGUCGCUGGGGUUGUGCUGACGCUGAGACACGAAAGCCAGGGGAGCGAACGGG
This 253-nucleotide ribosomal RNA is filed under the name uncultured bacterium. Its description in RNAcentral is "partial 16S ribosomal RNA". It matches the Rfam family "Bacterial small subunit ribosomal RNA", at positions 524 to 776 of the family's 1533-position model. The record is from RNAcentral.